UACAGAGGUGGCAAGCGUUAUUCGGAAUUAUUGGGCGUAAAGGGCGCGUAGGCGGCUUUGCAAGUGACGGGUGAAAUCCCUCGGCUUAACCGAGGAACUGCCUGUCAGACUGUAAGGCUUGAGACCGGGAGAGGUGAGUGGAAUUCCCAGUGUAGCGGUGAAAUGCGUAGAUAUUGGGAGGAACACCAGUGGCGAAGGCGGCUCACUGGACCGGUACUGACGCUGAGGCGCGAAGGCGUGGGGAGCGAACAGG
This 253-nucleotide ribosomal RNA is filed under the name uncultured bacterium. RNAcentral describes it as "partial 16S ribosomal RNA". It matches the Rfam family "Bacterial small subunit ribosomal RNA", at positions 524 to 776 of the family's 1533-position model. The record is from RNAcentral.